AAAUAACUGGUUGGAGGAUACUUCACCUUUCUUUGCCAAUUCAUGCAGUGGACCUACACCAUCAGCUCUUCAUGCCUACCAACUUGAAAUGCCAACUGUCUUCAAACCUGACUUGGAGGUGGUGAAUGUCACCAAUGUUUCACCGGACAUUUUGGAUUUUUCAAUCAAGACAGCUAUUCAACGAAAGUACAGUACUGUAAAGUCUGUGUGUCUUACAUCUAGUGCGUCCUUGCAUGGCACUAAAUAUACUGAGGGCAUGGUUGUAUCUUUUGGUCAGACUUGUGGGCUUCCAGACUUUGGGAAAAUAGUGAAAGUACUUAUUGUGGCACAGAAGGUGUCAUUCAUAGUCCAACAUUUCACAGCCUGGUAUGUUGAGCACCUCCGAUGCUUUGAACUGUGCAAGAGCAUUACCUCUGAAAUCUCCCUCAUAGACCCUCAGGACCUGAACGACUACUCCACUUUCGCUCUACACCAUUCGAGGAAAACAAUACAUAUCGCCAAAAGCUUUUUUACUUCACUAAGGAACCAUGCUGUUUCGUGUUAUUGCUCCAGAUGACAUCCGAAGACUGCACCGGAAAUUCUUCCUGCAACAGUGGAGGAACUGAUGAGCACACUGCGGCAAGAACUUGGCUUCGAAGGACUGUUAGUUGUACAAUUUGAGGACCCUGCUUUUGGAAAUGAACUUUGUAAUUUGACCAACAUGUCCGAUUUUCCUGAGGAGAGAGCUACGCUAAAAGUUUUCCAAAAGCAAACAUCAGAGCCAUCAUUUGAUAGUCAAAUCUCAGAUACCUCUCUCGACAUCGCAAGCUUGCCAUCAGCAUUGUCAGGAUGUUCAACACCUGUCCGUGAUAGACCAUCACUGGGUGAAAAGGCUCUGAAUCAGGGGAUAUACUGACCGGAUAUUUUUUAUGACAUGCAGCAUAUCAGGAGCAUCUUUGAUCAUAUCCUGAGUUUUUAAGAAUCAGUGAAAAUAUUGAUUUAUUUUGACUCCUGAUAUGCCAAUGAGAUAUCAGGGAUAUGCAUACCCAAAUCACAAGUCACACAAACCAUUUCUGGAUAUCUUUGGGUAGGUCUCCACCCUUGGAUAGGCUUAGGCUAUCAUAUUAGAUAGCCUAGGCCCAAGAUCUGCCUAAUUAAGUCACGCAUGCCCUACGCCCAAAACGUACCAUAAAACAUCACUGAUAGACUAUUUGCCGUUUGAUUUCUAUCUAAUUUCGGGACAUUCAAAAAUACACUAUUUACAGUGUAAAGACUACCUUUUUCAGGUCAAGGCUAGCCUACUUACCUAAU
Alosa alosa (allis shad) is the source of this 1290-nucleotide long non-coding RNA. RefSeq lists it as uncharacterized. NCBI's taxonomy places the organism in Eukaryota, Metazoa, Chordata, Actinopteri, Clupeiformes, Clupeidae. The transcript is spliced from 3 exons. The record is from RefSeq and is a predicted model, not a curated record.